CCCCCGCGUCCGCCUGCCGCCCGGCCCGGCCGCCCAGAGCUCGCCAUUGGGCCUCGCUCCCGGGGUCCCGCGCGCCGGCCGUGCUGAUUGGCCGCUGGGACUUCAUUCACGGCCCCCCUACCGUCCGCUUACAUACUCACGCCCCGGGGGCGCGGCCGCCACGUGGGGAGUGGCGCGGGGGUGGCACUGGGACCGCACCCCCUCUCGUCCUGGCUGCGUGGGCCCCGCUUACCCCUGGUGCAGGAGACUCGGAGCCCGGCAGGUCCCACACUCCACGCGAACUGAAUUCCCGCCCGUCUCCUGCCCGGGCGGCCAAGAGGCGGCGGCGGGGAUUGCGGGCUCCGGGAGGCGCUCAGGCUCCGAGAAGCAGCUCAGCCCCGCGCUCCUCCCUCCGCAGUGCCGCUGCCGGCGGGCCGGGAUUCCCGCGGGUCUCGGCGGCUGCGAGCCGGAGGCGGCGCGGGUCCCGGCUCGGUUCCGGCGCGGCUGCUCACCUCGGCCGCCUUGCCUCCCGCGACUUCAGCCGGCACAGAGCUCUCCUCUGCGCGCCUCCCCGGCCCGUCUCGUUUUCCCUCUUCUCCUUCUAGACCCAGCAUCGCAACUCCGCCGACCUACGCGGCCCCGAGAGCGCGUUGGGUGCGGGUGGAGUCGGACUGGCCCUGGCUUCCCGCCUCGUGCGGGUUCCCCUUCUUCCGGACUCCGCGGACCAGGGAAGCCUGAGCUGGCGGCCAGCCCCGUCCUCCCCCAUCCCCCAGCGCCCGGGACCGGCUGGUGCUCAUUGCUGCUACACUCAGGUCUCCCGCUCCAGGAGCAGCCACGGCAGGUCCCCAAGGGCCUGGAGACAACAAAUGACUCCCCGCUGACGGGUUGCUCGCUGCCUCCUGCCUGCGAGCCCGUUCGGCUGCACACCGCACGCAGAUAAUCAU
RNAcentral lists this long non-coding RNA (923 nucleotides) under Felis catus (domestic cat). RNAcentral describes it as "lncRNA (ENSFCAG00000048989.1)". The record is from RNAcentral. Lineage: Eukaryota; Metazoa; Chordata; Mammalia; Carnivora; Felidae.